Molecule: unclassified non-coding RNA, 2662 nt
Filed under: Hevea brasiliensis (rubber tree)
Lineage: Eukaryota; Viridiplantae; Streptophyta; Magnoliopsida; Malpighiales; Euphorbiaceae
Source: RNAcentral
GAGGGGGAGGGGGAGGGGGAGGGGAAGGGGGGUGGGUGGGGUGUCGGUAGUAGCUGGCUUCUCCCUAUCAUCAGGCUACCAACUUCCUAACCUUCCUGCAAGGUCAAACUCUUCUGACUUGUGGAAAAUUCUACAGUGCAUUUUUUUUCUCUAUAUUCUUAAUAAACAGCCACCAUGAUCAGCAGGUCACUGUCACCCAUCCUUUACGAAGAGCAUCCAACUAAUGUUAUAUCAUAUACCUGCAUGAAUAUUGGAAGAAGGAUUACAUGUGUUAGCCUGAGUAAUUACCUGGAUUUCGUUUUGAAGCAUUAAUCUGGAGACAUGAUAGGGGUCUUCUUCAAGAAUGAUGGAUGUGUGAUGGAGGGGUGGAGGAGAGAUGAUGGCGGAGAUGGGAUGUGAAGGCCUGCUGAUGUGGAAGGCUGUGUUAGCAAUCUGAUGGUGGACAUGGUGGUGUUGCGGCUGUUGUUGAUGAUGAUCAUGGACCAUAUGAUGUGGCCUCUGAUGGUGCUCGCGAAUCUCAUCACAUGUGCCUGGUACUGGGGUUUCCCUUGCCGUUGAAGCCUCUCCUAUCCCCACCUCAUCGAAGCUUUUCCUGAAUGGGGGGAACCCAAAAUCUGAUUUUAAUUGUUGGAUAUCCAUGGCAGUGUAAGUUGAUAAUGCAGCAGCAACCCCAGCUCCAGUUAUUUCAUCUCUAUGUGGAAUUAAUUCUUUUGAAGAGCAACUCCCACUACCACUGUCUCUUCUGCUGUUGGGAUCACUGCUUCCUUCACCAGUAGUUGCACUUCUAUCAGUCCAAUUGCAUUGCCUUGGCUGCGUUUGAUAAAAGAUCUUUGAAACCACAAGUUCUCCUUCUUUCUCUUCUUCAUUCUGACCAAGGUGGUAUUGGUGCAUGACCCAAUUAGUUUUUUCAGGCUUUCGAUUUUUUCCAAAAUUUGUAUAGAGGACUAGGAUUUUCUUGCACCCUUUUUGUUUGCCAUUCACCAUGACUGGCCUUGUCUUGCCUGUUUUAUGCCAUCUUGUCUCUCCACCUUGCAAGUCGCAUUCGGUUUGAAUUUUUCUUCUCUUUCUUGUUCCAGUUGUGUAAGCCUUGGAAGGUCUAUGGAAGAAAUGCCUGCUCAAGCCAUCUCUUGUAACUCCUGGAAGUUUCUCAGGAUGGGUAUAACAAAUCCCAUCUUCUCCUUCAAUAGUGGGGAUGAACUCAUCUAUCAAAGGGUGAGACUUCAUGUCUUUGGCUUCUACCUUUGCUUCAAGGUGUUCUAUCAGUUCUUGGUCUGUUGGAUCAAAUUUCACUCCUGCUGGUAGACCUAACCAAUCCGGCUUUCCUUCAAGCUUGUGUCCACAACCGGGGCACUGCUUGGAUCCACACAGCUGAUGCUCUUCAAGCUUUGCAUCGAUGAGAUCAGAACUGCUGAUGGAGGUCAAAUUACUCUUAUUCAUUGCUGCAGCUGAUGCUAUUUGCUUCUUUCUGGCAAAGUCUUGGAAUCUUCUACGAAAUUAGCAACUUUAUACUUUAGCCCCCCAUUCAUAUCCCUGUUAGCUAUCUAUAUAUACCAGAAAUCAUGAAUUGGAGAUCAGAUGAUAUGUGAACUAAGAGAAAACACAGUAUAUUGAUGUGGGAAUAUUGGAUUAGGCCUUUUGAUAACUUGAAAGCAAUUUUUUUUUUUUUUUUGAGAUGGAUAUCAAAGAACAAAGCUUCAAACACUUAGAGAUGAUUCAACCAAGAAAACAAGAAACCAAAUACAAAUUACCAUGGAUAUCAAUAAGUAUGUAGUUUACGCAUGAACAAAGCUAAGCUCAAACCAAAAAAUUAAGCAAAACCCAGAUGAGAAAUAGGACCAAAACUGCAAAAUAAAGAAGAAAACAAACAUGUACCGUAAAGAAAAAAAGAAAGAAGGAAAAAAACUCGUGCAAGGGAUAGAAGAGAGAAGCUAGAACAAGGAGGAGGAAAAGAGGAAACUGUCACAGUAGGAUUGAGCUAUAAAACCUGCUUUAACCAUGGAAAACACCAGAAAUCCCUCUCUCUAAUCUCUAACUUUAACUGAAGCUAAGAAAGAAAAAGGUACUCUCAAGCCUAAACACUCGCCUUUAAGCCCUUGCAAGUUUAAGUAGUGCAUGUAAGCGGUUUAUGAGAGAGAAAGGACAGAUAUAGAGAGAGAAAGAAAGAGAAAACACGAUAGAAAGUUAGAAAACAAAAAAUUAGAUUGUUUAUCCUAAAGCAUAAGGCUUCUCUCUCCCACACACCGACAGCCACACCUCCCUUUGUUUUGAGGGCCUUGACUACUAAAGCAAAAGGCAAGAAACGGCCUUCACAGCUGUUACUUAAGGCACACAUUCAAAAGCAUAUAUCAAGAAGAAACCCCAUGUCCUUGAAAUAGUUAUUUAUUAAUUUAAUCACAAAGGGAAAAAAAUAAAUAGUAUGUAUUUAGAUGGAUAAAAGGGUAUAAAUAAGUAAAAAAGCUGAGAACUUGAUUUCUGGAUGAAAAACCUUCUCCAGUGUGCGUACAUAUAUAUAUACGUGGCAGUAAACUUUGAGUAUGAGAGAAGGUAUUGGGCAAGUCACGGACUCACAGUUAAAUUCUUGUUAAUUUUCUUGGGCAUAACAGAUAGAUUAUAGUUAAAACAGUAAAGUUUUAAUUUUUUUUUAUUUUUAGAGAAAGGGAAG